This 468-nucleotide ribosomal RNA is filed under the name uncultured bacterium. RNAcentral describes it as "partial 16S ribosomal RNA". It matches the Rfam family "Bacterial small subunit ribosomal RNA", at positions 28 to 507 of the family's 1533-position model. The record is from RNAcentral.
GACGAACGCUGGCGGCGUGCUUAACACAUGCAAGUCGAACGGAAAGGCCCUGCUUUUGUGGGGUGCUCGAGUGGCGAACGGGUGAGUAACACGUGAGUAACCUGCCCUUGAUUUUGGGAUGACUUCAGGAAACUGGGGCUAAUACGGGAUAGGAGCUCCUGCUGCAUGGUGGGGGUUGGAAAGUUUCGGCGGUUGGGGAUGGACUCGCGGCUUAUCAGGUUGUUGGUGGGGUAGUGGCUUACCAAGGCUUUGACGGGUAGCCGGCCUGAGAGGGUGACCGGCCACAUUGGGACUGAGAUACGGCCCAGACUCCUACGGGAGGCAUCAGUGGGGAAUAUUGCACAAUGGGCGGAAGCCUGAUGCAGCAACGCCGCGUGCGGGAUGACGGCCUUCGGGUUGUAAACCGCUUUCGCCUGUGACGAAGCGUGAGUGACGGUAAUGGGUAAAGAAGCACCGGCUAACUACGUG